CGCUGGCGGCGUGCUUAACACAUGCAAGUCGAACGGUAAGGCCCUUCGGGGUACACGAGUGGCGAACGGGUGAGUAACACGUGGGUGAUCUGCCCUGCACUUCGGGAUAAGCUUGGGAAACUGGGUCUAAUACCGGAUAGGACCACGGUCUGCAUGGAUUGUGGUGGAAAGCUUUUGCGGUGUGGGAUGGGCCCGCGGCCUAUCAGCUUGUUGGUGGGGUGAUGGCCUACCAAGGCGACGACGGGUAGCCGGCCUGAGAGGGUGUCCGGCCACACUGGGACUGAGAUACGGCCCAGACUCCUACGGGAGGCAGCAGUGGGAAUAUUGCACAAUGGGCGCAAGCCUGAUGCAGCGACGCCGCGUGGGGGAUGACGGCCUUCGGGUUGUAAACCUCUUUCAGUAGGGACGAAGCGUAAGUGACGGUACCUAUAGAAGAAGCACCGGCCAACUACGUG
This 455-nucleotide ribosomal RNA is filed under the name uncultured bacterium. RNAcentral's name for it is "bacterial SSU rRNA". It matches the Rfam family "Bacterial small subunit ribosomal RNA", at positions 34 to 507 of the family's 1533-position model. The record is from RNAcentral.